RNAcentral lists this ribosomal RNA (115 nucleotides) under Pteropus alecto (black flying fox). Lineage: Eukaryota; Metazoa; Chordata; Mammalia; Chiroptera; Pteropodidae. The record is from RNAcentral.
GUCUACGGCCAUGCUACCCUGAACAAGCCCGAUGUCUGAUCUCAGAAGCUAAGCAGGAUUGGGCCUCGUUAGUACUUGGAUGGAGACCACCUAGAAAGACCAGGUGCUGUAGUCA